CACCAUUAAAGAAGCUUUCUUACUCAACUGAAAACCACAACUUUUCUCCAUGGAAGCUGCAUCAAACUCCAGCUCCAAAACACCCCAAACUUCAAUUACAAAACUCCAUUAAACUCCCACAAAAUUAGCUCCCAAAAUUCCUCUUUUACAACAAUAAAUCACUUUAAAGAAGCCAUUUUGCAUACAAAAAUAGCAAUUCCAAAUAGCUCCAGCGGUUGAG
RNAcentral lists this long non-coding RNA (220 nucleotides) under Nicotiana benthamiana. RNAcentral's name for it is "long non-coding RNA (NBEN_LNC012754)". Lineage: Eukaryota; Viridiplantae; Streptophyta; Magnoliopsida; Solanales; Solanaceae. The record is from RNAcentral.